GACGAACGCUGGCGGCGUGCUUAACACAUGCAAGUCGAACGGAAAGGCCCUGCUUUUGUGGGGUGCUCGAGUGGCGAACGGGUGAGUAACACGUGAGUAACCUGCCCUUGACUUUGGGAUAACUUCAGGAAACUGGGGCUAAUACCGGAUAGGAGCUCCUGCUGCAUGGUGGGGGUUGGAAAGUUUCGGCGGUUGGGGAUGGACUCGCGGCUUAUCAGCUUGUUGGUGGGGUAGUGGCUUACCAAGGCUUUGACGGGUAGCCGGCCUGAGAGGGUGACCGGCCACAUUGCGACUGAGAUACGGCGCAGACUCCUACGGGAGGCAGCAGUGGGGAAUAUUGCACAAUGGGCGGAAGCCUGAUGCAGCAACGCCGCGUGCGGGAUGACGGCCUUCGGGUUGUAAACCGCUUUCGCCUGUGACGAAGCGUGAGUGACGGUAAUGGGUAAAGAAGCACCGGCUAACUACGUG
This 468-nucleotide ribosomal RNA is filed under the name uncultured bacterium. Its description in RNAcentral is "partial 16S ribosomal RNA". It matches the Rfam family "Bacterial small subunit ribosomal RNA", at positions 28 to 507 of the family's 1533-position model. The record is from RNAcentral.